ACCAAAUCUACUUUGGAUUUUAUACGGCAUUGAUGUAUUUUAGAAACAAGGAUAUCAAGAUGAACAGAGUGUCAAAAGAACAGCUUGAGGUUUUGUUGGAGUUUUAUAGUUCUUACAAGAACAUCAUUCUUUAGCCAAAGACAUAGACUCGGCACCACAUUCAAGAAAACUUUCGAUAGUCAGUGGAAACAUCUAGCGAUAAAGCUGAACUCUAUUGGUUUAGGUUCUUCCAAAACUGGAGAGCAUUUGAAACGUACUGGGCUGAUAUUUAAUAAGAGCAAAACCAGACUUGCUAAACAUAAAUGGAGUCUUCUGACUGACUGACUGGCAGCGGUCUGAGUACACCGAAAAGAUAUUUCCGAGAUGGACAAAAAAAUCUGUCAUUGGAGAACAGGCUCUGUUUGGGAUGUAGAAAACAGAGUUCCAAUAUUGUAAACUUUACCAUAAAUAUUAUGUAUAUUAAAGAAAAAAAAGAUUUUUAUUUAAUAACUAGCCUUGCCAACUUCACAACAUGUCAAACAUUUUUACUUUUUUUUAUUUUAUGUUUUCUUGUGUAGUUCACAUUAAUAAUAAUCACAUUGAAAUAUAGUUUAUUUCACUCAGGAAUAAUGUAGCUUUCUACUGGUAAUAGAAUUUAAAAAAUGAAUUCAGUAUUUCCAGAAUUAACUUACUGCUAACAAUCUUAUAAACUUAGAUUUUCACACACUAAUUUGAGUAAUUAAUUAAAUCAUUUUUUUGUUUUUAAAAUGUACAUAGUACUUACAUGUAUACAGUAGCAUGUUUUAUAUAAAUAAAAAUGCCGUUUAGAAUUUGA
This 814-nucleotide long non-coding RNA is filed under the name Manduca sexta (tobacco hornworm). RNAcentral describes it as "uncharacterized LOC119190547, transcript variant X2". The record is from RNAcentral. Lineage: Eukaryota; Metazoa; Arthropoda; Insecta; Lepidoptera; Sphingidae.